UAAACUUCACCAGGAAAUGACAAACAGCUUGAAGCAAGCUGAAGAACCGUGCAAGCGGGAGGGUGAGAACAGGUGGAUUUCGUCACAGCCACUCUCAGUUGUUAUUUACUGCCUUCAGUCUACACUUCAGCAGAACCCCUCUGUUGUUUUGAGAACGACUGUUGGGUCUUGUUGGAUGAUGAAGAACCUUCCAAUCAGUUUGUCUGCAUUUUUAUCUUCCCGGGAAGACAAAACAUUUCUGUAGUUGUCUGAGUUCAUUUUGCUCUGGCA
This is a long non-coding RNA of Syngnathoides biaculeatus (alligator pipefish), 270 nucleotides long. RefSeq lists it as uncharacterized. Lineage: Eukaryota; Metazoa; Chordata; Actinopteri; Syngnathiformes; Syngnathidae. The record is from RefSeq and is a predicted model, not a curated record. The transcript is spliced from 3 exons.